RNAcentral lists this long non-coding RNA (206 nucleotides) under Lathyrus oleraceus (garden pea). RNAcentral's name for it is "Pisum sativum (pea) long non-coding RNA (PSAT_LNC030137)". The record is from RNAcentral. Lineage: Eukaryota; Viridiplantae; Streptophyta; Magnoliopsida; Fabales; Fabaceae.
AUUGAAUAAAUUUGGUCUUGAAAUCUAAAGUUGGGGAGAGUAAAUUAGAAGAGUUGAUUAGAAACUUGGAAAAGUGAUGUUUUAUAAAAAGGUGAAAGUGUGAAAAGAAACAAGAAAAAGAAAUCACCUUUGAAACUAUGGAGCAAAGAAAAAGAAAAGAAAGAAAAAACAAAGAAAAAACUCAUGGUUGUGUGGAUGUGAAAAAU